GCCAGGGCAAGAGUGGGGCUGGGAGGGGCGCGCGGAGAAAGAGGCGCGCGGGCCCCCGACCCCGCUGCGCGAGUCUGUGGGUUGGGGAGCCGAAUGGACACGGAUGGGAGGAGAGUCGAUGAGCGUUUGGGAAGAGAAAGCGCAAGAGUCCUCACCUUGCACGGGGCCUGGGAGGGCGGUCCGAGGAUGGAGCGCUCGGGGAAGAGGCGCGCGAGCCAGGCACUCCGGGGCGAGACGCAGGGCACCCAGCAGGAACAGCGCGAGAGAGGAGGGGCGCACGCGGCCACACCAGUAGGUUUUUCUAUUGUAGAUUAUACUCUCUCGCCUGGACAACUGCAGUACCCUGACUCCCACCCAGCAGCUAGAGACCGCCCGUUAAAACCUCAAAUGUGA
Bos indicus x Bos taurus (hybrid cattle) is the source of this 393-nucleotide long non-coding RNA. Lineage: Eukaryota; Metazoa; Chordata; Mammalia; Artiodactyla; Bovidae. The record is from Ensembl.